Long non-coding RNA from Hyaena hyaena (striped hyena), 1380 nucleotides. RefSeq lists it as uncharacterized. The transcript has 3 exons. Lineage: Eukaryota; Metazoa; Chordata; Mammalia; Carnivora; Hyaenidae. The record is from RefSeq and is a predicted model, not a curated record.
UGAGGUUCCAAGAAGCCAUGGUUGAGUUUCCAAACUUCUCCUGACCACAGAAACCCUCAUGGGCACAACCUCUCCAGUAAUGGAUACUUGAGCAGAUUUCUGGACCACCAAUGAUUUCACAGGCUCUAGACACUUCCCCAGAAGGCUGUCCUAACUCCCAGAUCUCUCCCACUGUCCUGGAAGACGAGCUCCAAAGUCUACCCUUCUUCCUCUGAGCAUUUUGAAUGUAUCGUCUCUCCCUGCAGCCCCUACGAUGAGAGCAGUCAGACAGGACCCAAGGCCCUAAAAACCCCUCCCGGAAGUGAUUGUAUAACCUCAUCAGGCCUCUUCUCAAACUACACGGAAGUAUCGCGAUUUUGUUCUUGAAAGAAAAAGCCCCACAAGGAAUGAAGAAACUUCUAGGUUGAACCGGAGGAAGGACCUAUAGCUAAAACACAAAGCUGGAGAGAAAACUUACUGUGUGACGCAAGGUGCUUGUGGUGUGAGGUGAGAUGACCGUGACUUCAGUCUAAAUCUCAAUUGUGUAUAAAUGGCACCUCUCAGCACCUAAGUCCCCCUCCCCCCCAAACCCGGGCAUCUUUGAAGACUUGUUUUCCUCUUUUUCUUUCUCCCUCCCUCACUCUGUUCCCCCCCCCCUCAUGUUUUCACAUCAUCCUCAAGGCGCAUCAGGAGAGCUUUACCCUGUAGUCACGAACGUGUUUUUUGGUUUUACCACUGACUCAUAGUUCCACAUACUAUGCCUCAGAUUUUCCAUCUCUAAAAUGGGUAUGAUUCUACAGGAAAGUAAUGUUUGUGGAAACUUUAGGGACUUCAGGUGAUGAGUUUUGUAGAAGUAACACACACACACGCAUGCACGUACACACGCACACACAUGCACGUACACACACACAUGCACGUACACACAGACACACACACACGUAUCUGAUUAGCCUCCAGGCAGAGCGGGGGUAACAGAAUUUCCUCAGAACAAUCUAUGCACAGAACAUCUGGUUCCCUUACCUGUUGAUGCAGUUGUCCAUACGUCUGGUUGAACUAAGCCGCUCAAUAAACUAGCCUGCAGCCACCACAGGCUCACUCUUGAAACACAAAACGUUCUCUUUCAGGCAAGGAGUUGCCAACUGCGGGUGGUUAUAAGUACAGGAAGGGGAAUGGACAUGUUUCCUUUCUUGCUCUGUUCCCAGGACACAGGUCCUUGCUUGCCUUUCACCCCCAAGUGCGUUUUAUUCGCUGGAAGCCUGCCUUGAACACUGGCAGAGACUCAGAGACUCUCUUCCCAGUGAUCCCUAAACCAGUGUUUCUGGCCUGAUGCAGAGUUCGUAUUCCUAUAUGCUGUCCAUAAAGUGGAACCACCAUGGGGAAGGUCUUCCUGUGUCGCAGGGG